Molecule: ribosomal RNA, 468 nt
Filed under: uncultured bacterium
Lineage: Bacteria
Description: partial 16S ribosomal RNA
Rfam family: Bacterial small subunit ribosomal RNA
Source: RNAcentral
GACGAACGCUGGCGGCGUGCUUAACACAUGCAAGUCGAACGGAAAGGCCCUUCUUUUGUGGGGUGCUCGAGUGGCGAACGGGUGAGUAACACGUGAGUAACCUGCCCUUGACUUCGGGAUAACUUCAGGAAACUGGGGCUAAUACCGGAUAGGACCUCCUGCUGCAUGGUGGUGGUUGGAAAGUUUGUGCGGUUGGGGAUGGACUCGCGGCUUAUCAGCUUGUUGGUGGGGUAGUGGCUUACCAAGGCUUUGACGGGUAGCCGGCCUGAGAGGGUGACCGGCCACAUUGGGACUGAGAUACGGCCCAGACUCCUACGGGAGGCAGCAGUGGGGAAUAUUGCACAAUGGGCGGAAGCCUGAUGCAGCAACGCCGCGUGCGGGAUGACGGCCUUCGGGUUGUAAACCGCUUUCGCCUGUGACGAAGCGUGAGUGACGGUAAUGGGUAAAGAAGCACCGGCUAACUACGUG